ACGAAGGGGGCUAGCGUUGCUCGGAAUUACUGGGCGUAAAGGGCGCGUAGGCGGCUUGGCCAGUCAGGCGUGAAAUUCCUGGGCUUAACCUGGGGACUGCGCUUGAUACUGCCAGGCUUGAGGCCGAGAGAGGGUGGUGGAAUUCCCAGUGUAGAGGUGAAAUUCGUAGAUAUUGGGAAGAACACCGGUGGCGAAGGCGACCACCUGGCUCGGUUCUGACGCUGAGGCGCGACAGCGUGGGGAGCAAACAGG
This 252-nucleotide ribosomal RNA is filed under the name uncultured bacterium. RNAcentral's name for it is "partial 16S ribosomal RNA". It matches the Rfam family "Bacterial small subunit ribosomal RNA", at positions 525 to 776 of the family's 1533-position model. The record is from RNAcentral.